Molecule: non-coding RNA, 97 nt
Filed under: uncultured Anaerosporomusa sp.
Lineage: Bacteria; Bacillati; Bacillota; Negativicutes; Acetonemataceae
Description: SAM riboswitch (S box leader)
Rfam family: SAM riboswitch aptamer (S box leader)
About the family: The SAM riboswitch is found upstream of a number of genes which code for proteins involved in methionine or cysteine biosynthesis in Gram-positive bacteria. The SAM riboswitch acts at the level of transcription termination control.
Source: RNAcentral
CUCAUCAAGAGUUGGUGGAGGGACAGGCCCGAUGAAACCGCGGCAACCAUUUGAGUUACUCAAAACGGUGCCAAUUCCGGCGGCGGAGCCGCAAGAU